CCACCUGGUCCCAGCAGACCCCAGAAGGU
Ribosomal RNA from Panthera pardus (leopard), 29 nucleotides. NCBI's taxonomy places the organism in Eukaryota, Metazoa, Chordata, Mammalia, Carnivora, Felidae. The record is from Ensembl.